UCCUCUUCUCUCUCCCUAUUUUCUAGAUUACAACUAGAACUAACUAGAACUAGAACUAGAGGAACUAGAACUAGAACUAGAUGAACUAGAACUAGAUCUAGAUGAACUAGAGGUAGAACUAGAAGAACUAGAGGGAUCCUCUCUACUUGGAUGAAGAAUUGAAACCCUAACUUUGAUUCUGUAGAAGAGGUAUGAUCUCCAGGGGCCAGGGGGGUCUGGUUUUAUAGUCCCUUCAAGUGAAUCUGGGCCGUCGGAUCAAACUGACAUUGAUCGUGUGGUUUUCCUUGAAGUAUUAGGUCGGUGGAGCAUGAUCCCCGAACUUCACCCUGAUUGGUCCAGGGGGGAGGGCGGGCGCCCAGUAAGGGAGGGCAGGCGCCCAGUGCCCGGCUCCGUUACGUCUCCCGUUCGGUCCCGUGGCUUCUGGAGUCUUCUAGAUGAUAGAAAAUUGCGCGGCACGUUAAUAUCUCUAUGUAAACCCGACGUGUGGGCCUUUCUUCCGUAUUUCCUGAUAACCCCCUGCAGAAAUAGACAAACACCAAAACUCGUGGAAUUCUGUCAGAUAAAACCCUAAGUCUAGGUGUUGGUUGCAUUUAGAUCCUUUUCCAUGAUUAGUUGAUGGUUAAAUGUGAGCAUUAAGGACCGUCAACAAGCUCCCCCAAGCUUAACCUUUGCUCGUCCCUGAGCAAAGCUAAAAUCAUCAAGAAAACAGGGGUUACUUUUAUGCCUCUUACUAUAGGGUUUUUAAGGUCUUAAGUGAUUGAAAAACAGAACGAUCAAGUCAAGCACUAUGUCUCAAGUUCUUCUAUCUUACCUUUGUUCUGGAGUUUUUUAUAAGUCUGCAAAAUAAAACUGAGGCAUUUGCCUUCUUCUCGAAAGAUAUAUAAGUAGAGCUUUAAAAGUUUUAGCAUACUUACUUUGCAUUUUGCUAUGUCAACACUCGGAGUAAGGGAGAGGAAUGUCAUACUCCUAGAUCAAGACCUUUGACCUUUUUAAGAAGUUUGUCAUCUCUUACUGGCAUAUUGCUUAUUAGAGGGACCAUGGGCUAUCAUUUUUUUUCUUUUUUUUCUCUUUUUUUUCAAGUGGGCAGCAAGUACCCCUAAUUCUACUGUCGGACACAUGUCCAUUUUUUCCACUCAGGUGGGUAUCUUUGUACCCCUAAUUCUACUUCGGACACUUGUCCAUUUUUACCUCUCGUCUCACUCUCUUUUUUUUUCAAAUCAAAUUUUUGCAUAGUCCCAUGCCUCUAACGCAAUAAUACUUCGGAAGAGUGAAUCUUUUAUAUUUUAAAACAAAAAGAUCUUGAUCUUGGGAGCAUGAUAAUUCUCUCAACCAAAACUACAAGAAUUAACAAUGGCUUGAACAAAGCAAGUGCCCACAGUUUUAAUAUUUAUAUCUUAUAAGACUCUAGGUAUUAUGAUCUAUAUAUAUAUAUUUUUUUAUGAAUUUUUAGAUUUUCAAAAGAUAAAAUCUCCAGAACUCUAGCAAAACUUGGAACAAGUUAAAUAGUAGCUCAGACCUUCUCAUAUCAUGUUUGUCAAUUACCUAGACUUGAACCAAACUUUCUUUUUAUUUAAAACUUAGGAUUACACAAAACUAUUGUAUAUUACUCAAAAGAAAAACUUUGUUUGGUUUCAUGGUUAUGCAUUUUUUUAUUUCUGAAUACUAGUAAAUAAAACUCAGAAAGAAAAGUAAUACUUAUCUAGAUACACGUGGGGGUGCCUCCCCCAAGCUGGAUGUUGACAUAGUCGUUCACUCUUGUAGCCUGCAUGUUUGGUUUCACUCUUCUUAAGCCUCAAAAUCCUGCACAACUCAAAUAGACAACAAAACUUGUGGAGCAUGUUAAGGGUUAGGUAAUUGUCUAGAGCUUAUGAGAGCUUAAUAUGAGAAUUCUAUGAACUCAAUCACAUCAAGUUCCUCUACCAGGUUGUUUUGUGGCUCGAGAUAGAUUUUCAAGCGUUGACCAUUUACCUUAAAAGUGUUACCCAUGUCGUCUUGGAUGGUAAUGGCUCCAUGAGUUGAAGUGUCAAUAACCUUGUAUGGUCCAUCCCACUUACUUCGUAGUUUACCAUGACCAAAGAGCUUAACUCUUGAAUUGAAUAGUAGAACCUUAUCUCCAGGCUUAAACUCCUUGUGCUUGAUUCUCUUAUCAUGCCAUCGUUUUGUUCUCUCUUUAUAGAUCCUUGAAUUGUGGUAGGCUUUCUCUCUCCAUUCUUCUAGCUCAGAUAGUUGCAUCAGACG
Molecule: long non-coding RNA, 2238 nt
Filed under: Sorghum bicolor (sorghum)
Lineage: Eukaryota; Viridiplantae; Streptophyta; Magnoliopsida; Poales; Poaceae
Description: long non-coding RNA (SBIC_LNC017604)
Source: RNAcentral